Molecule: ribosomal RNA, 253 nt
Filed under: uncultured bacterium
Lineage: Bacteria
Description: partial 16S ribosomal RNA
Rfam family: Bacterial small subunit ribosomal RNA
Source: RNAcentral
UACGUAGGGUGCGAGCGUUAAUCGGAAUUACUGGGCGUAAAGAGCGCGCAGGCGGUCGUACAAGUCGCGUGUGAAAGCCCCUGGCUCAACUGGGGAGGGUCACGCGAUACUGUUCGACUUGAAGGCAGGAGAGGGAAGUGGAAUUCCCGGUGUAGUGGUGAAAUGCGUAGAUAUCGGGAGGAACACCAGUGGCGAAGGCGACUUCCUGGCCUGUUCUUGACGCUGAGGCGCGAAAGCUAGGGUAGCAAACGGG